RNAcentral lists this ribosomal RNA (220 nucleotides) under uncultured bacterium. RNAcentral describes it as "partial 16S ribosomal RNA". It matches the Rfam family "Bacterial small subunit ribosomal RNA", at positions 110 to 334 of the family's 1533-position model. The record is from RNAcentral.
GUAAUGUCUGGGAACUGCCUGAUGGAGGGGGAUAACUACUGGAAACGGUAGCUAAUACCGCAUAACGUCGCAAGACCAAAGAGGGGGACCUUCGGGCCUCUUGCCAUCGGAUGUGCCCAGAUGGGAUUAGCUAGUAGGUGGGGUAACGGCUCACCUAGGCGACGAUCCCUAGCUGGUCUGAGAGGAUGACCAGCCACACUGGAACUGAGACACGGUCCAG